GGGAAUCUGCCCUUCGGUUGGGAAUAACUGAGAGAAAUUUCAGCUAAUACCUUAUAAUGUCUUCGGACCAAAGAUUUAUCGCCGAGGGAUGAGCCCGCGUAGGAUUAGCUAGUUGGUGGGGUAAUGGCCUACCAAGGCGACGAUCCUUAGCUGGUCUGAGAGGAUGAUCAGCCACACUGGGACUGAGACACGGCCCAGACUCCUACGGGAGGCAGCAGUGGGGAAUAUUGGACAAUGGGCGAAAGCCUGAUCCAGCAAUGCCGCGUGAGUGAUGAAGGCCUUAGGGUUGUAAAGCUCUUUUACCAGGGAUGAUAAUGACAGUACCUGGAGAAUAAGCUCCGGCUAACUCCGUGCCAGCAGCCGCGGUAAUACGGAGGGAGCUAGCGUUGUUCGGAAUUACUGGGCGUAAAGCGCGCGUAGGCGGUUUCUCAAGUCAGAGGUGAAAGCCCGGGGCUCAACCCCGGAACUGCCUUUGAAACUAGGAGACUAGAAUCUUGGAGAGGUCAGUGGAAUUCCGAGU
This 520-nucleotide ribosomal RNA is filed under the name uncultured bacterium. RNAcentral's name for it is "bacterial SSU rRNA". It matches the Rfam family "Bacterial small subunit ribosomal RNA", at positions 120 to 674 of the family's 1533-position model. The record is from RNAcentral.